UCCGGUACUUUUUUAUUUUAUUGAGGUUGUGGAGUAACAUCACUUGAGCCUCACUAACCUGUCUAGGUUUCCAUUCCCAUCGACACAUUUGAAAACUGCUAGUUAUAUCUUAAAACGGGUAGGGGUCUGCAUUCCCCACUGAUUUACCAAAAAAGGGGUCUGCCAAUGCCAAAGAGCGGUUCGACAGCCCAUGUAAGUCAUGUGAAUGUCCGAUCAAAAUUAAUUUUUUGUAUAUACAAAAAGGAAUUUUAAUAAAAAAAAAUAUACCAUUUUCUAUUUGGAGGUAUUCGCUAGAAAAAUAUAUUUUAAAAAAAAAAAGUGAGAAAAAAAAAAAAUGGUUGGGAUAACCUGCACAUAAAGUCUAGUUAUUUAUAAUUUUCCCGAAAUAAAAAGAACGAACGCAAGCGAAUCGAGGCGCGUUCGGAACAAGAGCGAGAGGGGACUUGAUUUGCGGCGCGCAAGCGAGCGGCUGCCUCCCCGUCCCAGUCACGCGCCGAGAAAACGUGUGAGAUCGACAAAUGCCGCCUAUAAUGUCAACAUGCCGGUUGAGGUGGUCCUCCUUGCCCAACACGGAACCCGCGCUUCUCCUCUUAACACCGCCGUCCCACGCGUGGAGCGCCAGGAAAGCGCCACGUGGGUCCACUCGCCUCCCAACAAUAAUGUGCCGCCACCCUCCGGGCCCAGGCGGCGCUAAAGGCCCCGUCAUUCCGCUCCUUGACUGCGCCCUCUUUCCUUCAUUUCACUUUCAACGCAACAUCGUCCCCCC
This 766-nucleotide long non-coding RNA is filed under the name Amborella trichopoda. Its description in RNAcentral is "long non-coding RNA (ATRI_LNC001144)". The record is from RNAcentral. Lineage: Eukaryota; Viridiplantae; Streptophyta; Magnoliopsida; Amborellales; Amborellaceae.